Molecule: ribosomal RNA, 447 nt
Filed under: uncultured bacterium
Lineage: Bacteria
Description: partial 16S ribosomal RNA
Rfam family: Bacterial small subunit ribosomal RNA
Source: RNAcentral
AACGAACGCUGGCGGCAGGCUUAACACAUGCAAGUCGAACGCCCCGCAAGGGGAGUGGCAGACGGGUGAGUAACGCGUGGGAAUCUACCCAUCUCUGCGGAAUAGCUCCGGGAAACUGGAAUUAAUACCGCAUACGCCCUACGGGGGAAAGAUUUAUCGGGGAUGGAUGAGCCCGCGUUGGAUUAGCUAGUUGGUGGGGUAAAGGCCUACCAAGGCGACGAUCCAUAGCUGGUCUGAGAGGAUGAUCAGCCACAUUGGGACUGAGACACGGCCCAAACUACUACGGGAGGCAGCAGUGGGGAAUAUUGGACAAUGGGCGCAAGCCUGAUCCAGCCAUGCCGCGUGAGUGAUGAAGGCCUUAGGGUUGUAAAGCUCUUUCACCGGUGAAGAUAAUGACGGUAACCGGAGAAGAAGCCCCGGCUAACUUCGUGCCAGCAGCCGCAGUAA